UAUGAGGAGGAAUAAACACAUAGAUCAAUGGAGCAGAAGAGAGAAGUCAGAAAGACUGAGACUGAGACAGCUGCUUUGGAAUGAAUGAGAAUUUUGGAAAGGAACAUAGUCCUAGGAAGCUAUCUGGAUUUUAUACCCUUCUACUAGACAGGAGAGGCUUUACAGCAUGAGUCAAGGGAAAAUCUGCUUCCUUGAGCAGACAGAUGGAAGCACCGUAGAAUUACUAGAGGUACCUAAGAAAGGAAAUAGUACCUGAGCCAUGCAAAAUGCUCACUCUCUAGUCCCUAUCUUUCCAGCAAUGUGCAGGUGCAGUGACCAGAUUUUGUAAACCAAAAAUUGGGAUAGAAGGUCUGAUAAAACAUUAUUAUUAUUAUUAUUAUUAUUAUUAUUUAAAAAUUCAAACAUGUAUUAAUUCUUUUCUGAAUAAAAAAGCAACACAUGCUCAUGGUAGAAAUUUUGAAAAAUA
Leopardus geoffroyi (Geoffroy's cat) is the source of this 466-nucleotide long non-coding RNA. RefSeq lists it as uncharacterized. The transcript has 2 exons. Lineage: Eukaryota; Metazoa; Chordata; Mammalia; Carnivora; Felidae. The record is from RefSeq and is a predicted model, not a curated record.